UCUCAACUUCACGCCGUCAUGCUCCUCGCCUCGUAAAUGGCGUCCCGGGCGUCUUCGCCUCCGUCGCCGCCGUCCGCCGCCACAACUACCGGAUCUGAUUCGUCGGGAUCCUCUCUGCUGGGACGUUCUUCGCGGUCUACGGGGCCGGUUUCGCUCAACCUGGCGACGUUCAUGAGGAAUGUCAUGUUCUAUUUGAUUUCAGUUCUUGUUCUAUCGGACCGGGUAAUAUCGGGAAGAAAAACAAAGGUGAGCUUCCUGCUUCCGGUAUAAUUAUAGCUUUCUAUUUUUUAACUAUACUCUUCAUUGAUUGUUUGUAUUUUGUACAGUGUUUUAUCGAACCAAUCUGAGGCCGCCUCAUAUAGAUUUUUGAAAUUGCAUGAUAAGCUUACUGAUGCUUUUCCAAAACAGUCUGUGAGAAAGUAGUUGGCAGUAGCUAUGAGUAUUGGGCCAUUGGCUUUAACAUUUUCGGUCUACUCAAUGGUAUUACUAAUUAGUAUAUCCAAGUGUGUAACAUAGACCAGAUGUCCUCAUGAGUGCUUAGUUUGAAGGAGAAGCUCAAGCAUAGUGUUAGGAAGAUUCUGAGUAUGUUUAUAUGCAGUCAUUAAGCUGAUCCUCUUUCUUCUCUGAGAGCGGUGGAGUUUUCUAAUCCAUCAGUCUUUGCCAUGGUACAUUUACUUGAUUUCCACAGCCUUGUUUGCAGGGCACGUGGCUGUGGUCAUUGAUGAUAAUGUGAGGUUGGGUCAUGAGGCAUGUAGUGGUCUCAAAGAAAUCUCAAAUCUUGUUGAGCAAUGAUCUGUGUUGGAAAUGGAGGGACUAUGGAAUAAAAUGAAGCUUUUUGAUGUAGAACAAUGCACUUUCAGUGUUUUGGCUGGCACCGCAACUGAGGCAUGAUGCAGAAGCUAUUUGAGCUGCGUCUGGUGAAUCCUAGGUAGGUAGAUGCAAUGAAGCUAUCAUUCAAAUUACUUCUCCGUCAAGAGAACUUGGUAUCAUAGUGGAGCCUCUACAAAAUCUUUAAAAAUAAACUUUCAGCGCGGCAGAUGUGUCUUCAGUAAUGAGUUCAAAGUGCAAGAGCGAGUAGACAAUAUUCCAAGAUUUGGGGAAGUGAUCAGGAGCAGAAUACUUUGGGUUAAUAUAUUCUUAUUUUGUCGGUUCAACUUUACUAUCUAUUAAAUGCUAGAAAUGAAUUUUCUUGCUAUAGAUUAGAGAAUCAAGAACGACAAAAGUAAAAAGUCUUCAUAAAGUUGUUGUAAAAAGAUUAAAUUUCUCGCUUAAUUAAAUAUGCGACGACUUCGGAUUGUCGCACCCAG
This is a long non-coding RNA of Rosa rugosa (rugosa rose), 1307 nucleotides long. RefSeq lists it as uncharacterized. The transcript is spliced from 4 exons. The record is from RefSeq and is a predicted model, not a curated record. Lineage: Eukaryota; Viridiplantae; Streptophyta; Magnoliopsida; Rosales; Rosaceae.